RNAcentral lists this non-coding RNA (85 nucleotides) under Propionispora hippei DSM 15287. Its description in RNAcentral is "GEMM cis-regulatory element". It matches the Rfam family "c-di-GMP-I riboswitch aptamer". Rfam says of the family: GEMM was predicted in a large-scale screen for bacterial structured RNA regulatory elements. Genes associated with GEMM are involved in a diverse array of functions, including chemotaxis regulation, signal transduction, secretion and chitin. The record is from RNAcentral. Lineage: Bacteria; Bacillati; Bacillota; Negativicutes; Selenomonadales; Sporomusaceae.
AUAACCUUUUAGCAAACCUUCUUAAAGGAAGGGACGCAAAGCCAUGGGUCUAAGGAUGUAAAUCUAUGAUAGCCAGGUUGCAUAA